Molecule: ribosomal RNA, 564 nt
Filed under: Triticum aestivum (bread wheat)
Lineage: Eukaryota; Viridiplantae; Streptophyta; Magnoliopsida; Poales; Poaceae
Description: partial small subunit ribosomal RNA
Source: RNAcentral
AUGAGCUGCAUAAGCUGGAACUGUCGGGGGCUUGGGAACCCCGAGGCAGUUCGAGAGCUUCGCAAUAUUGUGAAGCAAGAGUUACCCCUCCUACUCUUUUUCAUGGAAAAUAAAAUAUCAGCGAAAAGAGUAGAGAGCCUGCAACAUUCGCUGGGAUUUACAGGAUGUUUUGCAGUUAAUAGCACGGGAUUGAGCGGCGGCAUCGGACUAUUUUGGUCCCGAGAUGUGGAUGUCGAGCUCAAAAAUUUCAGUUCCGCCCACAUUGAUGUGAUGGUGCGGAGGACAGACCAAGUUUCGCCAAUAUGGCGGUUUACGGGGUUCUAUGGAGCCCCAAGAGUGGAGAAUCGUCACCAUAGCUGGCGGUUUCUUCAGACCCUGCAUGCCAUACAACACUCCGUGUGGUUGUGCAUGGGUGAUUUCAACGAGACUCUCUACGCCACCGAACACUUCAGUAGCUCGGCCAGGCCGGAGUGGCAAAUGAGAGCGUUCCGAGAGGUCGUCGAUGAGUGUUCCUUCCAAGACCUUGGCUGGUCUGGGGUGUCUUACACCUGGGAUAAUCGGUAG